AAUAGAUACCCAGGUAGUCCUAGCAGUAAACGGUGCGCGUUUGGUGUAGGAGGAUUCGACCCCUUCUGUGCCGGAGCUAACGCGUUAAACGCGCCGCCUGGGGAGUACGGUCGCAAGAUUAAAACUCAAAGAAAUUGACGGGGGCCCGCACAAGCGGUGGAGUAUGUGGCUUAAUUUCGAUGCAACGCGAAGAACCUUACCUAGGCUUGACAUGCAUCUCUAAGUCGGUGAAAGCCGGCGACUGUAGCAAUACAGAAUUUGCACAGGUGCUGCAUGGCUGUCGUCAGCUCGUGUCGUGAGAUGUUGGGUUAAGUCCCGCAACGAGCGCAACCCCGUGUGGCCUGUUGCCACCUACCUACGGGGUAGAGCACUCUGGCCAGACUGCCCUGUGAAACGGGGAGGAAGGUGGGGAUGACGUCAAGUCAGCAUGGCCCUUACGCCUAGGGCUGCACACGUACUACAAUGCCCAGUACAGAACGAGCCGAAACCGCGAGGUGGAGGAAAUCCCUAAAACUGGGCUCAAUUCGGAUCGC
Molecule: ribosomal RNA, 533 nt
Filed under: uncultured bacterium
Lineage: Bacteria
Description: bacterial SSU rRNA
Rfam family: Bacterial small subunit ribosomal RNA
Source: RNAcentral